UCACCAUUCACACCUCACGUGCCUCCAAAACACCAAUCCAAACACAAACACCAAAUCCACAAUCCUUUCAAAUCUAUUACUAUACUCACAUCUCUCACCGGUUGCUUCAUCUUGCAAUGUUCAUCUCAGUUCACAAAAUGGUAAUCACUUUAACUCAAAAAAAUGACUUUAACUCAAGAAUAAUCACUUUAACUCAACAAAAUGAUUUUAACUCAAGAAUAAUCACUUUAUAGCAACAAAAAAAAUUAUUUGAAGUCAACCAAACAAAACAAAUCACUUUAACUCAACAAAAUCAAAACAAAUUUGAAGCUUGAAGCAAAAUCACUUCAAUUCAGCAAAAUAAAAAUAAAAACAAAAAACAACCAAUACAAAAAUACAGUUCAACUCUUAUGGAAAAAAAGAUAACACUUCACCUCUGUCAAACGAAAAAGAUAAUACCUGAGUUAGGGAUUUUGAGAAGCUAAAUUGUAGAAACCAAACUGAAAGGAUCUUGAGAAAAAGGAAGGAACUGUCUGUGAUGGAAGAUAUGAGAACCCUUGGUGGUGGAGGAAGAAAGCGAACCAUCAAUGGUGGUGGUAGUCAGAAUUUGCGAUUUAGGAUUAGCUUAUUUUUGA
This 614-nucleotide long non-coding RNA is filed under the name Trifolium pratense (red clover). RNAcentral's name for it is "long non-coding RNA (TPRA_LNC003131)". The record is from RNAcentral. Lineage: Eukaryota; Viridiplantae; Streptophyta; Magnoliopsida; Fabales; Fabaceae.